AUAUGGCCUCAAAUCAGGUAGGACUACCCGCUGAACUUAAGCAUAUCAAUAAGCGGAGGAAAAGAAACUAACAAGGAUUCCCCUAGUAACGGCGAGUGAAGCGGGAAGAGCUCAAAUUUGAAAUCUGGUGGCCUCAGGUCAUCCGAGUUGUAAUCUAUAGAAACGUUUUCCGUGCUGGCUCAUGUACAAGUCCCUUGGAACAGGGCGUCAUAGAGGGUGAGAAUCCCGUCCUUGACAUGAACUACCAGUGCUCUGUGAUACGUUUUCAACGAGUCGAGUUGUUUGGGAAUGCAGCUCAAAAUGGGUGGUAAAUUCCAUCUAAAGCUAAAUAUUGGCGAGAGACCGAUAGCGAACAAGUACCGUGAGGGAAAGAUGAAAAGCACUUUGGAAAGAGAGUUAAACAGUAUGUGAAAUUGUUAAAAGGGAAACGAUUGAAGUCAGUCGUGCUCUUUGGAUUCAGCCGGUUCUGCCGGUGUACUUCCAUUGAGUGGGGUCAACAUCAGUUUUGAUCGCUGGAUAAAGGCAGGAAGAAUGUAGCACCUCCGGGUGAACUUAUAGCUUUCUGUCACAUACAGUGGUUG
RNAcentral lists this ribosomal RNA (581 nucleotides) under Filobasidium wieringae. RNAcentral's name for it is "LSU rRNA". It matches the Rfam family "Eukaryotic large subunit ribosomal RNA", at positions 1 to 583 of the family's 3401-position model. Lineage: Eukaryota; Fungi; Basidiomycota; Tremellomycetes; Filobasidiales; Filobasidiaceae. The record is from RNAcentral.